RNAcentral lists this long non-coding RNA (421 nucleotides) under Elaeis guineensis (African oil palm). Its description in RNAcentral is "long non-coding RNA (EGUI_LNC033451)". The record is from RNAcentral. Lineage: Eukaryota; Viridiplantae; Streptophyta; Magnoliopsida; Arecales; Arecaceae.
ACAUAAUAGAACAUGCAAACUCAGAAUAAGGUGGCUAUACGUUGCUGAAUCUGCCGUCAAUUUUUGCUCUCAGUGUGAAGAAGGUUGAUGCAAGGAGGCUGGAUGUGGAAGAAAGAUGAAUGCAGAGAGAGAAGGGAAGAGAAGAUGGCGAGAUGCGGCGUUGUUAAUGGUGAGAGAGAUGGUGAGAUGUGGAAGGCAUGGGUUGUAUUUAUAGGAGGGCUGAAGGACGAAUCCCAGAUGGAGAGGGAUUAGGGUUGCAAGCCUGUACACAACUGGGAGAUAAGAAAAGAUAUGGAGGGAGAUGCCUAUCUCCUUGUUGAAUCCUUAUGGGAUAAGGAUUACAUCUGCUGUGGCCCAAAAUCACGUCCAGGUUCAUUGUUGUAAUGAGGAGGGAGACUUCCUACUGAUAUCCACACCUGUG